AAGGCCCUUUCGGGGGUACUCGAGCGGCGAACGGGUGAGUAACACGUGAGUAAUCUGCCCUUGGCUUCGGGAUAACCACCGGAAACGGUGGCUAAUACCGGAUACGACCAGCCCCGGCAUCGGGUGUUGGUGGAAAGUUUUUUCGGCCAGGGAUGUGCUCGCGGCCUAUCAGCUUGUUGGUGGGGUAAUGGCCUACCAAGGCUUCGACGGGUAGCCGGCCUGAGAGGGUGACCGGCCACACUGGGACUGAGACACGGCCCAGACUCCUACGGGAGGCAGCAGUGGGGAAUAUUGGACAAUGGGCGAAAGCCUGAUCCAGCAACGCCGCGUGAGGGAUGACGGCCUUCGGGUUGUAAACCUCUUUCAGUACCGACGAAGCGCCGAUGAUGGUGGUGACGGUAGGUACAGAAGAAGCACCGGCCAACUACGUGCCAGCAGCCGCGGUAAUACGUAGGGUGCGAGCGUUGUCCGGAAUUAUUGGGCGUAAAGGGCUCGUAGGCGGUUUGUCGCGUCGGGAGUGAAAACACCGGGCUUAACUCGGUGCUUGCUUCCGAUACGGGCAGACUAGAGGCAUGCAGGGGAGAACGGAAUUCCUGGUGUAGCGGUGAAAUGCGCAGAUAUCAGGAGGAACACCGGUGGCGAAGGCGGUUCUCUGGGCAUGUCCUGACGCUGAGGAGCGAAAGUGUGGGGAGCGAACAGGAUUAGAUACCCUGGUAGUCCACACCGUAAACGUUGGGCGCUAGGUGUGGGGCCUAUUCCAU
RNAcentral lists this ribosomal RNA (761 nucleotides) under Nocardioides sp. RNAcentral describes it as "bacterial SSU rRNA". It matches the Rfam family "Bacterial small subunit ribosomal RNA", at positions 71 to 837 of the family's 1533-position model. The record is from RNAcentral. Lineage: Bacteria; Bacillati; Actinomycetota; Actinomycetes; Propionibacteriales; Nocardioidaceae.